RNAcentral lists this ribosomal RNA (440 nucleotides) under uncultured bacterium. RNAcentral's name for it is "partial 16S ribosomal RNA". It matches the Rfam family "Bacterial small subunit ribosomal RNA", at positions 338 to 795 of the family's 1533-position model. The record is from RNAcentral.
CCUACGGGUGGCAGCAGUGGGGAAUAUUGCACAAUGGGGGAAACCCUGAUGCAGCGACGCCGCGUGAGUGAAGAAGGAUUUCGGUAUGUAAAGCUCUAUCAGCAGGGAAGAAAAUGACGGUACCUGAGUAAGAAGCCCCGGCUAACUACGUGCCAGCAGCCGCGGUAAUACAUAGGGGGCAAGCGUUAUCCGGAGUUACUGGGUGUAAAGGGAGCGUAGACGGCAGCGCAAGUCUGAAGUGAAAUGCCGGGGCUUAACCCCGGAACUGCUUUGGAAACUGUGCAGCUAGAGUGCAGGAGAGGUAAGUGGAAUUCCUAGUGUAGCGGUGACAUGCGUAGAUAUUAGGAGGAACACCAGUGGCGAAGGCGGCUUACUGGACUGUACCUGACGUUGAGGCUCGAAAGCGUGGGGAGCACACAGGAUUAGAUACCCCAGUAGUC